Molecule: unclassified non-coding RNA, 592 nt
Filed under: Hevea brasiliensis (rubber tree)
Lineage: Eukaryota; Viridiplantae; Streptophyta; Magnoliopsida; Malpighiales; Euphorbiaceae
Source: RNAcentral
AAACUUUUGAAGACUGCCCUUGGUUGUUCUUUACCCAUUAGUUGGUCAGCCGAGGCAGUUGAUACAUCAGUUGGUGAAAGUGCCCACGAGCCAAGUGAUUUUCAUGGGGACUCCAGCAGUGAGAAGAUGGAUUCUGUGUCAGCUGCAGGAUUUGAGAUGGUGGAGCUCUUGAUACUUGCAGCUCAGAUAAUAAAAGAAAAUUCAACCAAAAAGGAUUUUGUAGAUGGAAACUAAUCUUUUCUGGUCUGUUUAGUCUUGGUUCCAUUUGGUACGUCUGAUGCCAGGACUGAGGACAUGUUAAAUUGGCCAAAGCAAGGUGCACAUAUGGAAAAUUUCUUUUGAAGGAAGCAAAGAAAACUUACGCAGUAUGAAGGAAGACUAUCUAAGUUGUUGUGCGUUAUAUUGUAUACAAAUUGAAAUGCAGUUAUCUUGUGAUUAUACAUUAUAAAAAUCCUGUUGUAAUUCUUCUUCUUCUUCUUGGGUGGGGAGGAGUUCAUUUCUGUGUAUACAAAUAUGGUUAAGACGCUUGCAUAAUGUACGGUGAUAUUUAUGAGAUUUUUGGCACAGAAAUUGAAUGAAUUCUAUAUGCUAA